CGAUUGUUACUUCUGAGAGCUUCUAUUUGUUUCAGUGCAGAGAGAGAGAGAGAGAGAAACUGCGUGUGUGAGAGUAAAAAAGGAGUGAUCGAUCUGAUCGUUCAUAGCUAUCGUUGUGUUAUCAUUCAUCUAUUCAUAAAAAGUAAUCGUCGCUCCUAAAUUGAGAUUCUACUGAUAAUCUGAGAGAAGAAAAUUUCAUUAAAAGCAAAGAGAAAACGAACUUACUGAUUCGGCGAAGCACAAGAGAACGGCUUUGAAUCUGAGUUUAUUUGGAGGUCAAUGACUAUAAUUACAGACGUUAUUCUCUAGGUUGGUGGUGGUGGGGGAAUUUCACCUGGGAAGUUGAGGACUAUGCUACUUGGGGUGGAGAAGAAGAGGAAGGAGCUGGAAGAUUUUGAAUCUACUUUCAAUUUGAGAUCUCAAGCUUCUGAAUUUGAACGGACUGGAUGAUACUGAAUUUCUCAUAGCUUCUGCUGAUCAAACUUUAAGCUGUCAAAUCUUUUGAGUCCACAUCCGCCUGAUCCUGAUAGAGCAUAUGAGUGCAACUCAGCCUCCAAAAACACGCUCUCACAGCUCUGUAUGGCCAAUUGCUGUGGCUAAAGAGGCUCAUCUUACCCCACAAGCAAAACGUUCGAUGCACGAAAAGACUGCUCCAAGGAGCAUCUUACAUCAGUUCUUAAUCUUAAAGAUGAGGUAUCCAUUGCUACUGCUGGAGCUGUGGACAGGGCCUGAACCAUAAUCUGGAUCAUUUUUACCUUCUCAAUAAGUUUGAUUUGAACUUAUUGAUGCUGGGGAGGAUGAGUGCAGUAUCGAAACAAAUUGACUGAGGUAUGUAGAGCCAAUAAUUCUCCUUCAAUUUUGUUAAAUUCUGGGUUAGAUAAUCAUUGACUGAGAUUGUCAACUCCUUAAUCUCUAUUGUUUAAUGAAUUCUAACGCACUCAAUACUUAAUCUAUCUUUUGGGUUACCUCUGCGCAAGUUACGACAUAGGUUAUUCCAUCUCUUCGUUUCUCUGUCUGAACUUGGCUUGAAUGAUUGUUUAGCUUUUUUGGGUGAUACUUGAUUUGUAUGAGAUAGUUAUGGUUCGGGGGCUUGGUUGUCUACCUUGAUUGUCUUUCUCACAGGUUAGUCUUCUAAAGAACUAUUUACUCUUUGUUUCAUAUGAUAUAUGCUGUGGCAUUAUCUAGGUUUUGAGAAUUUUUGUUUGAAAUGAUUGUUGGCAUUAGCCAGAAAAGAGAGGAAUACCUUGGGUUGGUGGAAGGGUUGCCAACAUAAGUGCAGGAAGAAUUGCUGGAUAACAGUCUCCGGGAAGAUCUGACAUGGAGGCCAUCUACUUUGAUGAAGAUGUAAGGAACUCAAGAUGACACCAAUUGAAAACAAGAGCAUUGUUGGGUUAUGGAAUGGGAGGUGGAAGACGGUCAAAAUCAGAUUGGAGAUACUGUAAUCGGUUUUCCAGGUUUCACGCUUUGUGCAGCCUGUGCUUAAUCUGGAGGUUGUACAUAUUGAAGGGGGGAGAGGUUUGUACUGGAAACAAGCAAAGAGGUUGGGUUGGAAUCCAAAGAAAAAGGAAACUCCACAUAUCACUGUUCAUGAUUAGAAGUGGCUACUUAGCAUAGUUGCAACACAUAUCCUACGAAAGUAAGCUUCUGAGGACUAUCUUUGUUGGAAAAUUACCAGUGAAGGUGAAGAAGAAGGUUUUGAUCUGGAAGUUCAUUAAGUUUGAAGAGGUGGAGCCUAUGAGGAUUUGAUCUGAGCCGAUAGAGGAUAAAAGUAGCGGAAACUUAUAAAGAAACUCCAUAAGAAAGCUAACAGGUCAACUAGCAGAUCAAAGUGGCAACUUCAAUUUUGUUUGGAGCCUUAGGACUAUCACAGUGG
Long non-coding RNA from Rosa chinensis, 1873 nucleotides. RefSeq lists it as uncharacterized. The record is from RefSeq and is a predicted model, not a curated record. The transcript has 18 exons. Lineage: Eukaryota; Viridiplantae; Streptophyta; Magnoliopsida; Rosales; Rosaceae.